This 507-nucleotide long non-coding RNA is filed under the name Rattus norvegicus (Norway rat). RNAcentral's name for it is "long non-coding RNA NONRATT024017". The record is from RNAcentral. Lineage: Eukaryota; Metazoa; Chordata; Mammalia; Rodentia; Muridae.
UAAAGCAAAUAAAAUAUGCUUUUAUUUUAUUAUAACUGUGUCUACCAAUUUGAACUUUCCAUUAAGACAAAAAAAUGGGUCACCCAGCCCAUUCAUCUAGAUACCUUCCGAAGACUAAAAAAGUACCCACCUUCUUGGUGCCUUAACAAACUUAAGAUCCGCCCCCGUCCCAACACAUACACGCACACCGUCUCUGGUUAUAAUUUUACUAGGAAAUUUGGGUGCAAAAAUAGUGCGGGAAGCACAGACUUGGGUCCCAGGGCAGCCCAACUGAGGGAAUGUGCUUUCUCUGCAAUUCACAACUACGCAGCCCAUUGACUCUCUCCCUAGCCUUCAAAAAUCAAUGGCUGUCUUCGUCUGGAGAUUUUCCUGCAGGUCACCUAAGUAGGGAAUGGGAAAGUGUCUAAGAUGAGGGCAGGACUGGAAAUCUCAUGGGUGGAAAGAGCCAAAUCGUUCUCUGCCUGCGUGUGGGAGAAGAGACUCCAUAACUACUACGUCCCGCAGUUG